UGAUAAACAUUUGAGUGAGUGGCGGACGGGUGAGUAACACGUGGGUAACCUGCCCUAAAGUGGGGGAUAACAUUUGGAAACAGAUGCUAAUACCGCAUAAAACCUAACACCGCAUGGUGCAGGGUUGAAAGAUGGUUUCGGCUAUCACUUUAGGAUGGACCCGCGGUGCAUUAGUUAGUUGGUGAGGUAAAGGCUCACCAAGACCGUGAUGCAUAGCCGACCUGAGAGGGUAAUCGGCCACACUGGGACUGAGACACGGCCCAGACUCCUACGGGAGGCAGCAGUAGGGAAUCUUCCACAAUGGACGAAAGUCUGAUGGAGCAACGCCGCGUGAGUGAAGAAGGUUUUCGGAUCGUAAAACUCUGUUGUUGGAGAAGAAUGUAUCUGAUAGUAACUGAUCAGGUAGUGACGGUAUCCAACCAGAAAGCCACGGCUAACUACGUGCCAGCAGCCGCGGUAAUACGUAGGUGGCAAGCGUUGUCCGGAUUUAUUGGGC
RNAcentral lists this ribosomal RNA (496 nucleotides) under Latilactobacillus sakei. Its description in RNAcentral is "bacterial SSU rRNA". It matches the Rfam family "Bacterial small subunit ribosomal RNA", at positions 76 to 559 of the family's 1533-position model. Lineage: Bacteria; Bacillati; Bacillota; Bacilli; Lactobacillales; Lactobacillaceae. The record is from RNAcentral.